UCACAGCGCGUCCAGAGUCAGCGACAAAAAAAACAGUGUAUUUUUGUUGCUUAACACACAAGACACGGAGAACAACGACGCGCUAAUGUUAAUAAUAUUAGACGCAGCGGCAGUUUCCGAACGAGAUCUGAUCGCUUAAAAUUCCAGCGUCAACCGCGUCUUAUUCCGGUGACUCUUUUCAAUGUUGCGGCGAUAUUUUUUUAAGCUCACGCCAUCCUCCGCAUCGUUUAAUUUAUUGCCGCUCAUAAUAAUCGCCGCGUCCAUUAUCCGAACAGGGCUAUAUUGUCUGACCAACUAAAUUAUGUAGAUUAUUUAUAACUGAUUGAACUUAUAUAUUAUAUAUUAGAUGAUACUUUUUAAAAACGUAAUUUUUUAAUAUUAAUUUUUAAAUAAAACUGCAUAUAUUUUGAAAAUAAAAAUUUUCAGAGUUCAAGUUCAACGGAAGUACUUUACUAAGUUAGGUCAUUUAUUAAGUAAUUUACUAAGUUUUCACAUUUUAAAUAAAAUAUAUCUAAAAAUGGUUUUGAUAUUCAGAUUUCAAACUCUUUAAAUAAGUUAGGUCAGAAUCUGGUGAACAUUUAAUUCCGCGUUUUAGCUCAAUCAGCUCCGCUAAUUCCCAUAUAUAAAUUUUGAUAGAAUUAUUGGAAAAAAAAAAAUUGAAACCAAUUAUUGGAAAUUGACUAGCAAUAUUAGAUAACUUGUAGCAUUUAAAUGUAGACUAUAAUAAUGGCAUGGUUUUAUUAUAUAAUCUAAAACAAUUCAUAUGAUUACACUAUUCUACUACAAGUGUAGAUAAAUCGUGCGCAUACGCAACAAAAUAGAACAUCAAAAUUAAAAAAAAAACUUUUUUUUAUCGGCCGAUCCGAUCGGACUCGGAAGGAACAUACUUAGUGCUAUAGAGUGGACUAGCUACCAUACUGUCUGACCUGAGUUUAGAAUAUCUUUCGACUAAUGUCAGGGGUGAACCGAUCAUCUGUUACGAUCCACCGUGUAAAUCAUUUGGGCCGAAGUCCAAUACAGACUGACCAAGUGAUGAUAAUUUAGUUCUUACGAUGAAUCGAACAUAACACUGACGUGGAUACACACCAAAUUCCAAUAGAAUGACACUAGGCUACCGCACCUUGAUUAAUUAAAAAAAUCUUGGUUGGUGGGAGCAUGAGGUUUCGUCUAAGACAUAGAGGAAUGACACGUGGCGUGAUGUUGAAAGCUCCCUAUGGAGAUUUACAAUACAAGCCUCCCAAGGAUAUUCUUCAGGACAAUUUCUCCACUGCGUUUCAAACCUUCUCUCUCUAUCUUUUGGAGAAGAAAGAGAUUCAUCUUCUUCCUCUUCAAAUCUGAGAUUUGAUCUGAAAACCAGAUAACGAUGACAAUCUUGUGCAACAACGGCCGCAAAAGAGACAAGAGGAGAAGAAAAGAGAAAGAAAAGUUGAAAGAAGAGAAUCCUCAUCAAUGUUGUUGUUAUUGCGUGUUGCCUACGUUUUCAAUGGUCAGAGGAAUAAAGAGAUGUCUCUUCCUCUCGUGCUAUCCAUUUAUUCGUUGCUUAGGGUUUGAAGACAGAAGACAUCGUCACCAUCUUCAUAACCACAAUCAUUUUCUAUGAUUCUUCCCUCCUUACACUUCUUUUUUCUUUGUGUAUGUGUGAAGAUUAUUUAUUAAACAUCUUGAAAACACCUUGAUUUUCAGACAAAAAACAUGUAAACAAUCAAAUAAAGGAAUCAAGAUAUUGAAAUGUU
Long non-coding RNA from Brassica napus (rape), 1733 nucleotides. RefSeq lists it as uncharacterized. The transcript has 2 exons. The record is from RefSeq and is a predicted model, not a curated record. NCBI's taxonomy places the organism in Eukaryota, Viridiplantae, Streptophyta, Magnoliopsida, Brassicales, Brassicaceae.